UAGAGUAUAGAAAUUCUCUGCAACAGUAUUGAGGGAAACUCACUAGAAGCUACUAUAAAUACUCCAGGAAAUAAGUAUGAAGGUCUGAAUACGAAUGGAGGCAAUGGGAAUGGAAAAAAAAGAUGAAAGGGUAUAACAGAAAGGAUAUAGCACCUGAAUGACUGUGGAGGGCAAAGAAGAAAGACUCAAAGGGGUACAUGUUUCUUCAUUGUUCAAGUUCUAAA
RNAcentral lists this long non-coding RNA (224 nucleotides) under Homo sapiens (human). RNAcentral's name for it is "HSALNT0105759". The record is from RNAcentral. Lineage: Eukaryota; Metazoa; Chordata; Mammalia; Primates; Hominidae.